GGGGGUGUUCUGGAUUCGACCUUGUGUCGUAGUGCGAGGCUGCAUGCCGGAGAUGAUGGAGGCUCCGUAUCAAUCCAUUACAAAACACAAUUGGCGAAGAACAAUUCGCUCUUGCGGCUUAAAGCUGCAACGUUUCUACCCAGACACCUGCUAAGGAAUAGAAGCGUCGACUAGCAGGCCAUAACAGAUGAGAGUGCUCUCGAUCAUCAGUUGUAUUUAGGGAGCUUGGAAUUUGAAUAGCCCGCUAAGAGGCGAUUCGAGGACGACAAUAAAUUCAUAGCUAAGCAUGUAGAUGCCACGUAUGAAAGCACGAGGGACGCGGGUUCGACUCCCGCCACCUCCAC
This 344-nucleotide transfer-messenger RNA is filed under the name Opitutales bacterium. It matches the Rfam family "transfer-messenger RNA". Rfam says of the family: Bacterial tmRNA, also known as 10Sa RNA or SsrA, is named for its dual tRNA and mRNA-like properties. Its role is to liberate the mRNA from a stalled ribosome. To accomplish this part of the tmRNA is used as a reading frame that ends in a translation stop signal. The record is from RNAcentral. Lineage: Bacteria; Pseudomonadati; Verrucomicrobiota; Opitutia; Opitutales.